RNAcentral lists this ribosomal RNA (122 nucleotides) under Amborella trichopoda. The record is from RNAcentral. Lineage: Eukaryota; Viridiplantae; Streptophyta; Magnoliopsida; Amborellales; Amborellaceae.
GGGUGCGGUCAUACCAGCAUUAAUGCACCGGAUCCCAUCAGAUUUCCGAAGUUAAGCGUGCUUGGGCAAGAGUAGUACUAGGAUGGGUGACCUCCUGGGAAGUCCUUGUGUCGCACCCCUUU